RNAcentral lists this ribosomal RNA (253 nucleotides) under uncultured bacterium. RNAcentral's name for it is "partial 16S ribosomal RNA". It matches the Rfam family "Bacterial small subunit ribosomal RNA", at positions 524 to 776 of the family's 1533-position model. The record is from RNAcentral.
UACGUAGGGACCGAGCGUUGUCCGGAAUCAUUGGGCGUAAAGAGCGUGUAGGCGGCCAACUAAGUCCUGCGUGAAAUCUCGGGGCUCAACCCCGAGCGGUCGUGGGAAACUGGUUGGCUAGAGUGCGGGAGAGGAGAGUGGAAUUCCUGGUGUAGCGGUGAAAUGCGCAGAUAUCAGGAGGAACACCUAAGGCGAAGGCAGCUCGCUGGAACGGUACUGACGCUGAGGCGCGAAAGCGUGGGGAGCAAACAGG